This is a long non-coding RNA of Oncorhynchus tshawytscha (Chinook salmon), 1394 nucleotides long. Lineage: Eukaryota; Metazoa; Chordata; Actinopteri; Salmoniformes; Salmonidae. The record is from Ensembl.
GUUAAAAAUCCCAUUCAGGUAAUUAAUGUUAGAGACUAUUCAGCUAUUGAUCAAUUAGACACUGAGACUGGUUUUGAUGGUAGGGACAAUUUGUGGCUGUCUUAUAUGAGGUAUACAGCUAAGACCCUGAAAAGAAAGGACUGCAUGAGUUACAUGAAACAUUGGUCAUGCUAGACCUGUUCUGGCUACACACCCAUUUGCUAUAGGAGAAGGAGAGGGGUGGUUGUGUAUUCUGAGAGGUUUUUACCAGGUUUAGCCCAAUUCAACUCUCUGUUCCUCUUUGAGCCUUGUGUCUCCUACAGUACCUCCUCAUCGGGCCCCUUGGGGUGUUGAGGCAUAUGGGGGCAAUUACAGUUGCAUCACGGGUACAGGUAAUGGCAUUGAUUAUGAGAGAUUGCCUGAAGCUGAUUGCAGUAGUAACAUAGCCAUUAAUUCCACUUGGCCAGUUACAGGCCUAAACCAAACUAGUGGUCUGGCUGAUGUGUGGUGGAUCUGUGGACCCAAAAGAGUGCUGAGACCCAUUCUUAGAGGAGACUGGCAAGGUACGUGUGCUCUGACCAGUUUGAUAAUUCCACUGACCAUUGUUGAUGUUACUGCUGAACAGCUGUUGGGUUCUGUAUCCAGGGGACCUGAAAACAUUCCAUUCCAUGGGAGACAUAGACGUAGUGCUCCAUGGACAGAGGAUGUAGUUGACAUACACACUAACCUGUUGGGAGUGCCAGUGGGGGUUCCUCAUGAGUUUCAGGUCUUGGGUAGGAAUGAUGGAUUAUAGGUCCAGCCAUAGUGGAUGCAAGGCAGACUGCAUGGAUUCAUUACAUCUACUAUGAUCAACAGCGUUUUGUUAAUUACCCCCGUGAUGCACUCACUGGUAUGUCUGAACAGUUUGAGGCCACAUCUAGGGUUGCCAGACAGAAUAGACUUGCUUUGGAUAUGCUUCUUGCCAAAAGGGGGCGUCUGCAAGAUGUUCGGUGAACAAUGUUGCACGUAACACCAGUCCAGAUGGUAGUAUAUCUAAGGCCCUUAGUGGGCUUGAUGCACUUGAUGCAUUAUCUGCUGAGAUGAGGACCAUGGCGGGGGUGGAGGAGUCUGGCCUGUUCUCUUGGGUGGGAGCCUGUUUUGAAGUCUGUUACAGAUGUGGUGAAGGCUUCAGGCAUGAUGAUGCCUUUGCUUGAUGCUCCAGUUGGAGAUGCUGAUACUGAAGCAUGCUUUCAGGGGAGGAUGAGACUGACUGAGGAUGACCCAUGGUAUGCUGUGGGUGAGGUAGUAGAAUAAAUCUUACACCACCACAGUUCCUUGUUAUACAUUUUUAUGAUAGGUUUUCUUUCCAGUAUGUUUGUUCUCCCUGUUGUGAAGGUUUCGAGUCCCUGGGUGGCAUGAAGCCCAACUGGUGCAGG